RNAcentral lists this ribosomal RNA (798 nucleotides) under uncultured Glomus. Its description in RNAcentral is "SSU rRNA". It matches the Rfam family "Eukaryotic small subunit ribosomal RNA", at positions 314 to 1114 of the family's 1831-position model. The record is from RNAcentral. Lineage: Eukaryota; Fungi; Glomeromycota; Glomeromycetes; Glomerales; Glomeraceae.
AUCAACUUUCGAUGGUAGGAUAGAGGCCUACCAUGGUGGUAACGGGUAACGGGGUGUUAGGGCACGACACCGGAGAGGGAGCCUGAGAAACGGCUACCACAUCCAAGGAUGGCAGCAGGCGCGCAAAUUACCCAAUCCCGACACGGGGAGGUAGUGACAAUAAAUAACAAUACGGGGUUCUUUAGGAUCUCGUAAUUGGAAUGAGUACAAUUUAAAUCUCUUAACGAGGAACAAUUGGAGGGCAAGUCUGGUGCCAGCAGCCGCGGUAAUUCCAGCUCCAAUAGCGUAUAUUAAAGUUGUUGCAGUUAAAAAGCUCGUAGUUGAAUUUCGAGACCGGUCUACUGGUCGUGCUUUUGUACGUACUGGUUUUAUUGGUUUCUCCUUUCUGACGAACUAUAAUGCCAUUAAUUUGGUGUUAUAGGGAAUCAGGACUGUUACUUUGAAAAAAUUAGAGUGUUUAAAGCAGGCUCACGCUUGAAUACAUUAGCAUGGAAUAACGGAAUAGGACGUUUGACUUUAUUUUGUUGGUUUCUAGGAUCGACGUAAUGAUUAAUAGGGAUAGUCGGGGGCAUUAGUAUUCAAUUGUCAGAGGUGAAAUUCUUGGAUUUAUUGAAGACUAACUACUGCGGAAGCAUUUGCCAAGGAUGUUUUCAUUAAUCAAGAACGAAAGUUAGGGGAUCGAAGACGAUCAGAUACCGUCGUAGUCUUAACCAUAAACUAUGCCGACUAGGGAUCGGAUGAUGUUAAUUUUUUAAUGACUCAUUCGGCGCCUUACGGGAAACCAAAGUGUUUGGGUUC